Long non-coding RNA from Triticum aestivum (bread wheat), 1348 nucleotides. RefSeq lists it as uncharacterized. NCBI's taxonomy places the organism in Eukaryota, Viridiplantae, Streptophyta, Magnoliopsida, Poales, Poaceae. The record is from RefSeq and is a predicted model, not a curated record. The transcript has 2 exons.
UCCAAGCCGGCCCAGCGCGGCCCACCUUCUCCGGCGAGAUGCGCACCACCCGAGCAGUCGCCCCACCCUCCCCACCUUCUCUGCGCGCUGCGUCCUACCCGAAACGAAUCCCGGCUUCCUCGCCUCCUUCUGCUCCCGGCCGGCGCCGCCCCGACUCCUCUACCUCCUGGUCGGCAUCAUCGCACCUUCUAUUCGUCACCCCGACCACCUACUCCGGUCACACCUCCCCCAACCCCGCCGCCGGGCACUGCCCCACCACCUCCACUGCAUCGUGCUGCUGUCGCCCUUGCUCGCGGGCCCCCCUCCACCUUCUCCAAUCACGGCCCCUACCACUACCUCCUACCACUUCGCUUCGCCGCCGGCCAGCGGGGGAGCCGGAUCCCCACGCCACCAGGGCUACCGUGAGCCAUCUCCGUCCUCCUAGAUACCAACUCCCCCAGCCAGCGCCGCCCAACCCCUGGCCACUCGCCCCUCCCCCUCAGCUGCGUGGUGGCCGACGACUCCGGUGGCUCUCCGUCCACGGAUUCGGCCGUCCCCCGACCACCGGACCACGGGCAGUGAGUUCCUCAGGUGAGAUCUCCGACGAGAUCUCCUGCAUCCCCUUCCCUCCUGUGAGCUGGCCUGAAGACAGUCGAGGCUCCCGAUGCAGUUUGAUUUCGUGGGUGGCGUCGUGCGGUGUGUGUGUCUUGCAGCUCAGAGCGAGCGGGCAUGCAGCUCUGAACGAUUCGGCCGCCUGCACACACUGAAUCCAUCUCAGUCCCGCGAGCGGCAGUAGCUACGGGAGCAUAGCAGCAGGUGGCGGUGUCCCAAGGAGGUCGUUUGAUCCAUUGCUCGUGGCCUCCGCUUGCUCCGCCGCUAGCUGCUAUCUCUAAACAUCAUAGCUUCUGCUCCCGACUGCAGCUUGUUUGUGCGCACAAAGAAGAAAUAAAAGGGAAAAGGCACAUACGGUGGUGGAAGGAUAAGAAGUGUGUGGCGAGGCUAGUCUAUGGAUGAAAUCUUUGCAUCUUUUUCAGCUCAUCCAGCAUGCUCUGCUCUAUAGGACGGUGAUCGCAGGCUGUUCGCUUCUGUUUGCGCAGGAUAUUGUGCAAAAUUCCCAGUUUUUUGUGGUUUGCUCGCUAUGUAAAAAAUGCAGUUUAUUUGUAACGAUGCUUGUGGUUUGCUUGCUAUUUAAAAAGUGUAGUCCAUCCCAUCGGUCAUGUUUUUUGAGAAAACAAUUUGUAUUGUCACACAUGGUGGUUUCACUUAUGUGUAUGCUUGCAAUGCGGUGUGUGUAUGCGUGCAGUGCGCUCCUGUGGUUUCCUUUGUAACGACAAUAAAAAACCAUCACACAGAAGUUAAUUUCCUUUUA